RNAcentral lists this ribosomal RNA (461 nucleotides) under uncultured bacterium. RNAcentral describes it as "partial 16S ribosomal RNA". It matches the Rfam family "Bacterial small subunit ribosomal RNA", at positions 338 to 795 of the family's 1533-position model. The record is from RNAcentral.
CCUACGGGCGACAGCAGUGAGGAAUAUUGGUCAAUGGGCGCGAGCCUGAACCAGCCAAGUCGCGUGAGGGAUGACGGUCCUACGGAUUGUAAACCUCUUUUGCCGGGGAGCAAGCGUGCGUUCGUGAACGCACGUCGAGAGUACCCGGAGAAAAAGCAUCGGCUAACCCCGUGCCAGCAGCCGCGGUAAUACGGAGGGUGCAAGCGUUGUCCGGAAUCAUUGGGGGCAAAGAGUUCGUAGGCGGCAUGUAAAGUCAGGUGUUAAAGGCGCAGGCUCAACCUGUGUAGGGCACUUGAUACUUGGAAGCUGGAAUGCGGUAGAGGUAAAGGGAAUUCCUGGUGUAGCGGUGAAAUGCUUAGAUAUCAGGAGGAACAUCGGUGGCGUAGGCGCUUUACUGGGCCGUAAUUGACGCUGAGGAACGAAAGCCAGGGUAGCGAAUGGGAUUAGAUACCCGAGUAGUC